Pelobates cultripes (western spadefoot toad) is the source of this 258-nucleotide non-coding RNA. Lineage: Eukaryota; Metazoa; Chordata; Amphibia; Anura; Pelobatidae. The record is from the annotation of a GenBank genome assembly.
GUCAAAUGUAAACUCAAAAGACUGCCCCAAUCCCCAGUGACGUGAAUGUACCGAACAAUUCUUGGUUUACAGCAGCCAGAAUUGUUUGAUGAUGAACAGGUUAGAUAGGGACAGUGUUGCUGCAAAUAAAGCCUCCUGAUCAAUUUCCAUCAAUCAUCGAUGUUAAAAGGAAGCAACCUUUAAGUGACUAGCUUUAAAAAUAUACAUUGCUGAAGUCAGCAAGGGAGGACGUUUGUCAAUACAAAUUUUGUGGACCAG